UUCCUUGUGUUAAGGUGCAUCUAGUGCAGUUAGUGAAGUAGCUUAGAAUCUACUGCCCUAAAUGCUCCUUCUGGCACAAGCU
RNAcentral lists this microRNA precursor (82 nucleotides) under Chelonia mydas (Green sea turtle). Its description in RNAcentral is "mir-17 microRNA precursor family". It matches the Rfam family "mir-17 microRNA precursor family". Rfam says of the family: This family represents the microRNA (miRNA) precursor mir-17, family, which includes mir-20, mir-91, and mir-103. miRNAs are transcribed as ~70nt precursors (modelled here) and subsequently processed by the Dicer enzyme to give a ~22nt product. In this case the mature sequence comes from the 3' arm of the precursor. RNAcentral also lists the same sequence under 6 other names. Lineage: Eukaryota; Metazoa; Chordata; Testudines; Cheloniidae. The record is from Rfam by way of RNAcentral.